UACGAGGGGGGCGAGCGUUGUUCGGAAUUAUUGGGCGUAAAGGGCGCGUAGGCGGUCGGAUAAGUCUUGUGUGAAAUCUUCGGGCUCAACUCGAAGUCUGCACAGGAAACUAUCUGGCUUGAGUGUGGGAGAGGUGAGUGGAAUUCCUGGUGUAGCGGUGAAAUGCGUAGAUAUCAGGAGGAACACCUGUGGCGAAGGCAGUUCUCUGGGCCGUAACUGACGCUGAGGAGCGAAAGCGUGGGGAGCGAACAGG
RNAcentral lists this ribosomal RNA (253 nucleotides) under uncultured bacterium. RNAcentral describes it as "partial 16S ribosomal RNA". It matches the Rfam family "Bacterial small subunit ribosomal RNA", at positions 524 to 776 of the family's 1533-position model. The record is from RNAcentral.